This 226-nucleotide ribosomal RNA is filed under the name uncultured bacterium. Its description in RNAcentral is "partial 16S ribosomal RNA". It matches the Rfam family "Bacterial small subunit ribosomal RNA", at positions 585 to 810 of the family's 1533-position model. The record is from RNAcentral.
AAGUCGGGUGUGAAAUCCCUCGGCCCAACCGAGGAACUGCGCCCGAAACUGCAUGUCUUGAGGACAGGAGGGGAGCGCGGAAUUCCUGGUGGAGCGGUGAAAUGCGUUGAUAUCAGGAGGAACACCGGCGGCGAAGGCGGCGCUCUGGCCUGUUUCUGACGCUGAGGUGCGAAAGCCAGGGGAGCAUACGGGAUUAGAUACCCCGGUAGUCCUGGCCGUAAACGAU